UACGAAGGGGGCUAGCGUUGCUCGGAUUGACUGGGCGUAAAGGGCGCGUAGGCGGCUUGUACAGUCAGACGUGAAAUUCCUGGGCUUAACCUGGGGGCUGCGUUUGAUACGUACGGGCUUGAGUUCGGAAGAGGGUCGUGGAAUUCCCAGUGUAGAGGUGAAAUUCGUAGAUAUUGGGAAGAACACCGGUGGCGAAGGCGGCGACCUGGUCCGAUACUGACGCUGAGGCGCGAAAGCGUGGGGAGCAAACAGG
This 253-nucleotide ribosomal RNA is filed under the name uncultured bacterium. RNAcentral's name for it is "partial 16S ribosomal RNA". It matches the Rfam family "Bacterial small subunit ribosomal RNA", at positions 524 to 776 of the family's 1533-position model. The record is from RNAcentral.